AUUAUCACUGAUUUUAUGCCAAUAUGGCUAUAUUACAUAACAAAACUUAUCACAAGUUGAUCACGCCUUAUUCGUGGUCAUGGCACAAUAUAUCCUGAUGCCGAAAAUUAAGAUCGCGACCUCUUAAAAUCGAAAUUCUUACCAUGCUUACAAGCGGAGCGUCGGCGGGGAGGUUUGCAAAUGGCGUCUAGUUAGGACCGCCCUCCCUCAUACGUCAUAGCUCUGACGUCAUCCUAGGCUCGAUCGUUCAUUGGUUAAUCAAGACUGUCCGGGUCGAGACCUUGUCCGGGUCGUGACCACACGACCCUACCACUUCAACAGCCAUCACCACCACCAACCUCGUGCCCUGAUACCUCUUACAAGGAGCCAUGCGUAUACCAAAUCACUUAUCAUCAUUACUUUACGUUCACCACCAAGUUCACCCUCAUAUACUCCCUUGGGCUAGGUUAAGAAAGGAGCUCAUUCAUAGCCCCACCCUGAAACCCCCCCAAAUCACUUAUCAUCUUUAUUUUACGUUCACCACCAAGUUCACCCUCAUAUACUCCCUUGGGCUAGGUUAAGAAAGGAGCUCAUUCAUAGCCCCACCCUGAAACCCCCCCAAAUCACUUAUCAUCUUUAUUUUACGUUCACCACCAAGUUCACCCUCAUAUACUCCCUUGGGCUAGGUUAAGAAAGGAGCUCAUUCAUAGCCCCACCCUGAAACCCCUCUUGGCUCAGUGGCACAUGAAGAGGAGGAGCUGGGAGGCCGAAACAGUAUCCGCAGCCCUCGCCUCACAUUCAUAGCUGCCACAGUCCUGGGCGCGGAAAUCCU
This is a long non-coding RNA of Eriocheir sinensis (Chinese mitten crab), 811 nucleotides long. RefSeq lists it as uncharacterized. The transcript has 3 exons. NCBI's taxonomy places the organism in Eukaryota, Metazoa, Arthropoda, Malacostraca, Decapoda, Varunidae. The record is from RefSeq and is a predicted model, not a curated record.